GAGCCAGCACUAGCACUAGUAACAGCCCCAGCACCUCCACCUCCACCGCAACAGCAACUAGUCCGAGCCCGAAGAGCACCAGCUGCGAAUCCACUUGCACCUGGUCGUCAUCCAUUAUGGACAUUCCUUAACACAGAUAAUAAAAGUCGAUUCCAAGUCAUGAGAUGGAAGCAAGUGAUGGCGAGUCGUUGCAUCGACUUUGUAUCCC
Molecule: long non-coding RNA, 208 nt
Filed under: Ricinus communis (castor bean)
Lineage: Eukaryota; Viridiplantae; Streptophyta; Magnoliopsida; Malpighiales; Euphorbiaceae
Description: long non-coding RNA (RCOM_LNC001342)
Source: RNAcentral